Molecule: ribosomal RNA, 253 nt
Filed under: uncultured bacterium
Lineage: Bacteria
Description: partial 16S ribosomal RNA
Rfam family: Bacterial small subunit ribosomal RNA
Source: RNAcentral
UACGGAGGAUGCAAGCGUUAUCCGGAAUGAUUGGGCGUAAAGCGUCCGCAGGUGGCUGUGUAAGUCUGCUGUCAAAGAGCGAAGCUCAACUUCGUAAAGGCAGUGGAAACUACACGGCUAGAGUGCGUUCGGGGCAGAGGGAAUUCCUGGUGUAGCGGUGAAAUGCGUAGAGAUCAGGAAGAACACCGGUGGCGGAGGCGCUCUGCUAGGCCGCAACUGACACUGAGGGACGAAAGCUAGGGGAGCGAAUGGG